This 293-nucleotide long non-coding RNA is filed under the name Lupinus angustifolius (narrow-leaved blue lupine). Its description in RNAcentral is "long non-coding RNA (LANG_LNC000149)". The record is from RNAcentral. Lineage: Eukaryota; Viridiplantae; Streptophyta; Magnoliopsida; Fabales; Fabaceae.
GGGAAUCACACACACUCCUACUACUACUACUGCUAUUUCGUUCGAGAAGUAUAGCAGUAAGGAAUCACAUUUCUCUAUUCUGAUUUCAUGUGCAUGUGGUUUUCUUCAUCGAUCGGGGGCUAUAUACCGUUGUGGAUCGAUUAUUUCAUCCAUUUUGUGCAUUACCAGAUCUCCUUGUGCAUUACCAGAUCUCCAAAUAAAGUGUUGAUUGAUUUAGUACAUGUGAAGAAAGGAAUGGAAUAGCAAGACACGCAAAAUAUCAUACAUUUGGGUAGGUGGGUGAAACAUAAAAG